AUUGAACUGAAGAGUUUGAUCCUGGCUCAGAUUGAACGCUGGCGGCAUGCCUUACACAUGCAAGUCGAACGGCAGCACGGGCUUCGGCCUGGUGGCGAGUGGCGAACGGGUGAGUAAUACAUCGGAACAUGUCCUGUAGUGGGGGAUAGCCCGGCGAAAGCCGGAUUAAUACCGCAUACGAUCUGAGGAUGAAAGCGGGGGACCUUCGGGCCUCGCGCUAUAGGGUUGGCCGAUGGCUGAUUAGCUAGUUGGUGGGGUAAAGGCCUACCAAGGCGACGAUCAGUAGCUGGUCUGAGAGGACGACCAGCCACACUGGGACUGAGACACGGCCCAGACUCCUACGGGAGGCAG
RNAcentral lists this ribosomal RNA (351 nucleotides) under Burkholderia pseudomallei. Its description in RNAcentral is "bacterial SSU rRNA". It matches the Rfam family "Bacterial small subunit ribosomal RNA", at positions 1 to 351 of the family's 1533-position model. Lineage: Bacteria; Pseudomonadati; Pseudomonadota; Betaproteobacteria; Burkholderiales; Burkholderiaceae. The record is from RNAcentral.